This 440-nucleotide ribosomal RNA is filed under the name uncultured bacterium. RNAcentral's name for it is "partial 16S ribosomal RNA". It matches the Rfam family "Bacterial small subunit ribosomal RNA", at positions 339 to 795 of the family's 1533-position model. The record is from RNAcentral.
CUACGGGAGGCUCCAGUGAGGAAUAUUGCACAAUGGGGGGAACCCUGAUGCAGCAACGCCGCGUGGAGGAUGACGCAUUUCGGUGUGUAAACUCCUUUUAUAUGUCAAGAAAAUGACGGUAGCAUAUGGAUAAGCACCGGCUAACUCCGUGCCAGCAGCCGCGGUAAUACGGAGGGUGCAAGCGUUACUCGGAAUCACUGGGCGUAAAGGACGCGUAGGCGGGUUGGAAAGUCAGGUGUGAAAUCCUACAGCUUAACUGUAGAACUGCACUUGAAACUUCUAAUCUAGAGGUAUGGGAGGGGGAGAUGGAAUUAGGGGUGUAGGGGUAGAAUCCGUAGAUAUCACUAGGAAUACCUAAAGCGAAGGCGAUCUCCUGGAACAUUACUGACGCUAAGGCGUGAAAGCGUGGGGAGCAAACAGGAUUAGAUACCCUCGUAGUC